CGCUUUCACUCCUACGGGAGGCAGCAGUGGGGAAUAUUGCACAAUGGGCGCAAGCCUGAUGCAGCCAUGCCGCGUGUAUGAAGAAGGCCUUCGGGUUGUAAAGUACUUUCAGCAGUGAGGAAGGUGGUAGUGUUAAUAGCACUAUCAUUUGACGUUAGCUGCAGAAGAAGCACCGGCUAACUCCGUGCCAGCAGCCGCGGUAAUACGGAGGGUGCGAGCGUUAAUCGGAAUUACUGGGCGUAAAGCGCAUGCAGGUGGUUUGUUAAGUCAGAUGUGAAAGCCCGGGGCUCAACCUCGGAAUUGCAUUUGAAACUGGCAGACUAGAGUACUGUAGAGGGGGUAGAAUUUCAGGUGUAGCGGUGAAAUGCGUAGAGAUCUGAAGGAAUACCGGUGGCGAAGGCGGCCCCCUGGACAGAUACUGACACUCAGAUGCGAAAGCGUGGGGAGCAAACAGGAUUAGAUACCCUGGUAG
RNAcentral lists this ribosomal RNA (472 nucleotides) under uncultured bacterium. RNAcentral's name for it is "bacterial SSU rRNA". It matches the Rfam family "Bacterial small subunit ribosomal RNA", at positions 328 to 793 of the family's 1533-position model. The record is from RNAcentral.